GACGAACGCUGGCGGCGUGCUUAACACAUGCAAGUCGAACGGAAAGGCCCUGCUUGCAGGGUACUCGAGUGGCGAACGGGUGAGUAACACGUGGGUGAUCUGCCCUGCACUUCGGGAUAAGCCUGGGAAACUGGGUCUAAUACCGGAUAGGAGCCAUUUUUAGUGUGGUGGUUGGAAAGUUUUUUCGGUGUAGGAUGAGCUCGCGGCCUAUCAGCUUGUUGGUGGGGUAAUGGCCUACCAAGGCGGCGACGGGUAGCCGGCCUGAGAGGGUGGACGGCCACAUUGGGACUGAGAUACGGCCCAGACUCCUACGGGAGGCAGCAGUGGGGAAUAUUGCACAAUGGGCGCAAGCCUGAUGCAGCGACGCCGCGUGGGGGAUGACGGCCUUCGGGUUGGAAACUCCUUUCGCUAGGGACGAAGCUUUUUGUGACGGUACCUAGAGAAGAAGCACCGGCUAACUACGUG
This 465-nucleotide ribosomal RNA is filed under the name uncultured bacterium. RNAcentral's name for it is "partial 16S ribosomal RNA". It matches the Rfam family "Bacterial small subunit ribosomal RNA", at positions 28 to 507 of the family's 1533-position model. The record is from RNAcentral.